RNAcentral lists this ribosomal RNA (484 nucleotides) under uncultured bacterium. RNAcentral describes it as "partial 16S ribosomal RNA". It matches the Rfam family "Bacterial small subunit ribosomal RNA", at positions 28 to 523 of the family's 1533-position model. The record is from RNAcentral.
GAUGAACGCUGGCGGCGUGCUUAACACAUGCAAGUCGAACGGUGAAGCAGGAGCUUGCUCUUGUGGAUCAGUGGCGAACGGGUGAGUAACACGUGAGCAACCUGCCCCUGACUCUGGGAUAAGCGCUGGAAACGGCGUCUAAUACUGGAUAUGUGAUGUGACCGCAUGGUCUGCAUCUGGAAAGAAUUUCGGUUGGGGAUGGGCUCGCGGCCUAUCAGCUUGUUGGUGAGGUAAUGGCUCACCAAGGCGUCGACGGGUAGCCGGCCUGAGAGGGUGGCCGGCAAGACUGGGAGUGAGACACGGCCCAGGCUCCUACGGGAGGCAGCAGUGGGGAAUAUUGCACAAUGGGCGGAAGCCUGAUGCAGCAACGCCGCGUGAGGGAUGACGGCCUUCGGGUUGUAAACCUCUUUUAGCAGGGAAGAAGCGAAAGUGACGGUACCUGCAGAAAAAGCACCGGCUAACUACGUGCCAGCCGCCGCAGUAA